RNAcentral lists this ribosomal RNA (506 nucleotides) under uncultured bacterium. Its description in RNAcentral is "partial 16S ribosomal RNA". It matches the Rfam family "Bacterial small subunit ribosomal RNA", at positions 899 to 1397 of the family's 1533-position model. The record is from RNAcentral.
ACUCAAAUGAAUUGACGGGGGCUCACACAAGCGGUGGAGCAUGUGGCUCAAUUCGAAGCAACGCGAAGAACCUUAUCCUGGGUUUGACAUGUAUGGAUUAGGCGGCGGAAACGUCGCUGAGGCCUUCGGGUACAACAUACACAGGUGCUGCAUGGCUGUCGUCAGCUCGUGCUGUGAAGUGUCGGGUUAAGUCCCUUAACGAGCGAAACCCCUAUCGUUAGUUGCCAACGGGUCAUGCCGGGAACUCUAACGAGACUGCCGGUGUCAAACCGGAGGAAGGUGGGGAUGACGUCAAGUCCUCAUGGCCUUUAUGCCCAGGGCUGCACACGUGCUACAAUGGCGUGUAACAAAGCGACGCGAGACCGCAAGGUGGAGCAAAUCGCAGAAAACACGCCCCAGUUCAGAUUGAGGUCUGCAACCCGACCUCAUGAAGCCGGAAUCGCUAGUAAUCGGGGAUCAGCUACGCCCCGGUGAAUAUGUUCCUGAGCCUUGUACACACCGCCCGU